UGCUGCAGCGGCCUUCUGCCACUUCUCCACGUUUGACGUUGUUCAUAAAGUCUCGGGCCUGACGUGGGAGAGCGUGGCUCCUUGCGUCCGGUGGAUGAGUCCCUUCAUGGACACGCUGCGAACAGAAGCCACACCUCAACUCAAGAGCUUCGCCAAAGUCAAAGCUGACGACAGACACAACAUCCAGACACACGUGGCUUACCUGGACCUGCUGGUGAGCAACACACACCUUCCUCUACCUACCUGUUACGACCAAGUCUUAAUGUCUGGGCUCGGUACGAGUACUAAGGAUCUUUAUAGGAACUAAAUAAAAUGCAGGCUAAACUAA
Long non-coding RNA from Micropterus dolomieu (smallmouth bass), 328 nucleotides. RefSeq lists it as uncharacterized. The record is from RefSeq and is a predicted model, not a curated record. The transcript has 2 exons. Lineage: Eukaryota; Metazoa; Chordata; Actinopteri; Centrarchiformes; Centrarchidae.